This 253-nucleotide unclassified non-coding RNA is filed under the name uncultured Patescibacteria group bacterium. RNAcentral describes it as "contains 16S-23S intergenic spacer region". It matches the Rfam family "Bacterial small subunit ribosomal RNA", at positions 524 to 776 of the family's 1533-position model. The record is from RNAcentral.
UACGAAGGGUGCAAGCGUUGUCCGGAGUUAUUGGGCGUAAAGGGUCCGCAGGCUCACAAGAAAGUCAUACUUCAAAGACCGAGGCUCAACCUCGGAGCGGGGUAUGAUACUACUUGUGUUGGAUAAUGUAGGGGCUACUGGAACUUUGUGUGUAGGAGUGAAAUCCGUUGAUAUACAAAGGAACACCGAGGGCGAAGGCAGGUAGCUGGACAUUUAUCGACGCUGAGGGACGAAAGCUAGGGGAGCGAAACGG